This 426-nucleotide ribosomal RNA is filed under the name uncultured bacterium. RNAcentral's name for it is "partial 16S ribosomal RNA". It matches the Rfam family "Bacterial small subunit ribosomal RNA", at positions 354 to 796 of the family's 1533-position model. The record is from RNAcentral.
GUGAGGAAUUUUCCGCAAUGGGCGAAAGCCUGACGGAGCAAUGCCGCGUGAAGGAUGAAGGCCUAUGGGUUGUAAACUUCUUUUCUUAGAGAAGAAUAUUGACGGUAUCUGAGGAAUAAGCAUCGGCUAACUCUGUGCCAGCAGCCGCGGUAAGACAGAGGAUGCAAGCGUUAUCCGGAAUGAUUGGGCGUAAAGCGUCUGUAGGUGGCUUCAAAAGUCUCCUGUCAAAGAUCAGGGCUUUACCCUGGGCCGGCAGGAGAAACUCUGAGGCUAGAGUUUGGUAGGGGCAGAGGGAAUUCCAGGUGGAGCGGUGAAAUGCGUAGAGAUCGGGAGGAACACCAAAGGCGAAAGCACUCUGCUGGGCCACAACUGACACUGAGAGACGAAAGCGAGGGGAGCAAAAGGGAUUAGAAACCCUUGUAGUCC